UACGUAGGUGGCAAGCGUUGUCCGGAGUUACUGGGUGUAAAGGGCGUGUAGGCGGGAAGAUAAGUCAGAUGUGAAAUUCCAUGGCUCAACUGUGGCGCUGCAUCUGAAACUAUUUUUCUUGAGUGAUGGAGAGGAAAGUGGAAUUCCUAGUGUAGCGGUGAAAUGCGUAGAUAUUAGGAGGAACACCAGUGGCGAAGGCGACUUUCUGGACAUUAACUGACGCUGAGGCGCGAAAGCGUGGGGAGCAAAC
Molecule: ribosomal RNA, 250 nt
Filed under: uncultured bacterium
Lineage: Bacteria
Description: partial 16S ribosomal RNA
Rfam family: Bacterial small subunit ribosomal RNA
Source: RNAcentral